AAGAGAUGAGACCCAGAAGCACUGCACAGCAGUGGGGAAACCAUCUCCAAACUCAGAGGUUAUCAAUGUGAUGUGCGCUGGCAGAACCACCCCAUGUGCAGGGAGGUGAUGCCCCAUCACCAGUUCGUCCAGCUCCAACCUCACCCUCCCAGGGCUGCGAGUAAAGAACUGACCAUGGUCCUGACCGCUUCAGGCUCAGGACACGCUGCACCAAGCAGGUCCCAGACCCAGCUUCAGAGCACACGAGCACAGCUCAUCACAUCCCAACCAAGACUUGAAUCUGGGCCACAACCCCAGCAGGUGACACAGGCAGUGACAACCAGCACCUGGCAUAGUUCAUGCACUGCCACCCCCAUCACAGGUCCCACGUGCUGAGCCAGUGUCACCUGGAGCUGCAGCCCCACCAGGACCCCGGGUCUGACUAACAGCUGUCCAACACCACACCCACCUCACUCCUUGCCCAGAUGGGUGACAGGCACCAGACCACCAGCUGAGAAGAGCCGGACAUGAUGCCUUCAGAGCUCACUCGACAGGAAACCACAUCCCACUGUGGGAAUCCAUCCUCCCUUCCCUCAAUUUGGUAGAAGAAUACCACCCAAAAUGGCAAAACAUGGCUGCACCCAGUGUUCUGGAGUUUGGUGUCACCACCAGGACAAGCCCUGUGCCCACACACCGAUGUUCCCUGACUCACCCACUGAGGACCACGAUGAAGUCCAUGACGUUCCAGCCAUUGCGUAGGUAUGAGCCCUUGUGGAAAACGAAGCCCAGAGCCACGAUCUUAAUCCCAGCCUCAAAGCAGAAAAUCCCAAUAAAGUACGGCUCCGUCUUCUCCUACAGAGAGGAACCAGGGGCACAGUGAGAGAGAAGCACAGGGCAAACAGCACCAUGCAUUUCACAUGAGGUGGCUUCAUCAUGCACCAACCCCAUUUCCCUGUCCCAUCCCACCUUCCUCAUCCAGGAGCUUCCCCAGCCCUUCCUCCGACAGCAUCAGUUUGGAGACCAGAAAUACAGAGCUGUGACAUACUUCAGUGCCACUUUUCAGGGUUUUUAAACCUUCCUGGAUCCUUUCCAUGGUGGAGCCACAAAGGCCAGUGGGGUCCCCUCCUGACCCACCACCCCCAAAAUGAGCAGAAAUCAUCUGUUGGGAAAGGGUCCCCGACAAGGAUGCUCACCAGUCUCCGUGACAUGGGUGUCUUGUCGUCCUCUGGGAGGUGCUGCUCCAGGGCCAGCACGAUGCAGUUGGCAAUUAUGGUUGCCAGGAUCAUAUACUCGAAGGGAGUGGAAGAAGUCAAG
This 1293-nucleotide long non-coding RNA is filed under the name Gallus gallus (chicken). RNAcentral describes it as "long non-coding RNA NONGGAT008815". Lineage: Eukaryota; Metazoa; Chordata; Aves; Galliformes; Phasianidae. The record is from RNAcentral.